GGCCUAAUGGCCCAAUGGCAAGGCGCUUGACUACGAUCAGUUCGAAAUCAAGAGAUUCCAGGUUGUAAGUACUACCACGCACCACACUACCCGGUGUUCGAAUUCUAACAGUGCAAUAGCGACCCCUGGUUAGGUCA
Neodidymelliopsis sp. IMI 364377 is the source of this 137-nucleotide non-coding RNA. The record is from the annotation of a GenBank genome assembly. Lineage: Eukaryota; Fungi; Ascomycota; Dothideomycetes; Pleosporales; Didymellaceae.